CGUUUUGAUAUUUGACGAAAUUUCAACAAUUCCAGUGUUUAUAAUUAUAUACUUGUAUUCAAGGCAAUCUGCAAUUCCACACAUAUAGCACCAUUCAAUAUCGUCAUGUUAUUUUGUAAAGACAAUACCUUCCCCCUUUCAAACAGUGGAACAAAUUCUUGUUUGCAGAAUUUGCAGGUGAGUGAUAUUUUUAAAUAAACUGAUUAUUUUAUAUACCAAUCUGAUACCAAUUCAG
Non-coding RNA from Paramuricea clavata, 235 nucleotides. NCBI's taxonomy places the organism in Eukaryota, Metazoa, Cnidaria, Anthozoa, Malacalcyonacea, Plexauridae. The record is from the annotation of a GenBank genome assembly.